Molecule: transfer RNA, 69 nt
Filed under: Ictidomys tridecemlineatus (thirteen-lined ground squirrel)
Lineage: Eukaryota; Metazoa; Chordata; Mammalia; Rodentia; Sciuridae
Description: Spermophilus tridecemlineatus (thirteen-lined ground squirrel) tRNA
Rfam family: tRNA
About the family: Transfer RNA (tRNA) molecules are approximately 80 nucleotides in length. Their secondary structure includes four short double-helical elements and three loops (D, anti-codon, and T loops). Further hydrogen bonds mediate the characteristic L-shaped molecular structure. tRNAs have two regions of fundamental functional importance: the anti-codon, which is responsible for specific mRNA codon recognition, and the 3' end, to which the tRNAs corresponding amino acid is attached (by aminoacyl-tRNA synthetases). tRNAs cope with the degeneracy of the genetic code in two manners: having more than one tRNA (with a specific anti-codon) for a particular amino acid; and 'wobble' base-pairing, i.e. permitting non-standard base-pairing at the 3rd anti-codon position.
Source: Rfam by way of RNAcentral
GGGGUUGUGGCUUAGUGGUAGAGCACUUGCCUGGCAUGUGUGAGGCACUGGGUUUGACUCUCAGCACCA